RNAcentral lists this ribosomal RNA (423 nucleotides) under uncultured bacterium. RNAcentral describes it as "bacterial SSU rRNA". It matches the Rfam family "Bacterial small subunit ribosomal RNA", at positions 494 to 917 of the family's 1533-position model. The record is from RNAcentral.
AGACGCACUCUGCCAGCCGCCGCGGUGAUACGAAGGGUGCAAGCGUUACUCGGAAUUACUGGGCGUAAAGCGUGCGUAGGUGGUGGUUUAAGUCUGUUGUGAAAGCCCUGGGCUCAACCUGGGAAUUGCAGUGGAUACUGGGUCACUAGAGUGUGGUAGAGGGUAGCGGAAUUCCCGGUGUAGCAGUGAAAUGCGUAGAGAUCGGGAGGAACAUCCGUGGCGAAGGCGGCUACCUGGACCAACACUGACACUGAGGCACGAAAGCGUGGGGAGCAAACAGGAUUAGAUACCCUGGUAGUCCACGCCCUAAACGAUGCGAACUGGAUGUUGGGUGCAAUUUGGCACGCAGUAUCGAAGCUAACGCGUUAAGUUCGCCGCCUGGGGAGUACGGUCGCAAGACUGAAACUCAAAGGAAUUGGCGGG